This is a long non-coding RNA of Armigeres subalbatus, 438 nucleotides long. RefSeq lists it as uncharacterized. The record is from RefSeq and is a predicted model, not a curated record. The transcript is spliced from 3 exons. NCBI's taxonomy places the organism in Eukaryota, Metazoa, Arthropoda, Insecta, Diptera, Culicidae.
AACUGACACUUUUUCUGUUGUCAUUGGUCGGCGGGAAAAUUGAAGAAAAGUAUUUAGAAAUUAGUCAAACGCCUUCUUUGAUAGCUCCGGAAUUCGCUCGACAGAUAUUUAAUUGUACUAAGGAAAAAUAAGCCAACGAGUGAUGUUUACCGCGAUGCUGCCAAUAGAAAGAGCAGAGCUUCGGAAAUGGCGAUAACCGUUUCGAAUGAUCUCAUGAUUCUGCAACUUUAACGUCAUCUAAAUCAUCCACAAAGGCAGCCUCUAUACGGGAAGCAUCACCGUUACUAUCGUCUAGGCCAACUGGGUUCGAAAGAUUAGCACCGCUACAGCAGGAAACAGCAUAAUUGCGCCGCAAUGUGAUGCGCCAGCUCAUAUGCAUAAUUGUAAGUCAUCUUUAGAUCAGCAGCCACCGCGUAUACGAGCUCGCCUACACUGGCC